CCAUAGCAGUUGGACAAGAAAUCAUUCUGCCAUGACUGAAUGAAGGAGAGGGAGACUUACACUAGCUUACACCCUUGCGUCUGAGAUCAGCAUCACUGCCUCUUCUCAGCACCCCAUUUCUAGCUGUGCCAGGAGGACAGAAACCGAUUUGCCCACUCAUAGAAGAGGUGUUCUCCCGAAAGCAGACAAGGACACUAUGUCUGCUCAUCUGGGGCAGCGCUAGCGGAGAUCCGGUCCUGCAGCCGCAACUCACACAGCCGCAUGCCCUGAAUCAGGCCAGACCACCUCACCUUGGACACCCUCCU
RNAcentral lists this long non-coding RNA (305 nucleotides) under Chinchilla lanigera (long-tailed chinchilla). RNAcentral's name for it is "lncRNA (ENSCLAG00000024724.1)". The record is from RNAcentral. Lineage: Eukaryota; Metazoa; Chordata; Mammalia; Rodentia; Chinchillidae.